ACCAACUGCUCCUCCUCCAUUGAACAGUCAGUGGAGCUCCUGCUGGCUUCUCACACACAGCGCUUCCCCGCCAGCUGCCUGACCAGAACCGGUUUAUAGCCGCCUCAGCACCACCCGCCCAUCCACGCUGCUCCUCAGACCCAGCUGACUUGGUCCCUUGGUAACCUCAGACCAGCGAGGGCUGUGUUCUUAACCACACCAACACAACUUCUAUCAUCCUCAAGUGCCCGCAAAGCAGAAAUUCUCAAGUGGAGACCGCUUCUGAGUUCAUCACAGCAGCCUGAGAACCGAUUUUGUCACCUCGGAUUGGUGGUGACGCCCCUGGGACUGCUGUGUCCUCAGAGCCAUCAUUCAUUCUCAUCAGAGCCACAUUUCACUCUCGGCUCAUGAAAUGAUCAAAGUCCUUAGAACUUGCUUCUCAGAUGUGCCUUGGUUCUACCUAGGAACCCUUUGGGCCUUCUCAGGCCCACUGUCAGCCUUCAUGAAGUAAGUUUUAUUUUCAAAAAAUUUUGUUUAUUUAUUCUCAUCAUUUAAAAGGCAGGAAAACAGAAAGAGGGAGAGAGACAAACAAGAGGCAGCAAGAGCAAGAACGCUUCCAUUUGCUGGUUCAUUCCCCAAAUGUCCACCACAGCCAGGAUGGGGCCAGGCUGAAGCCAGCAGCCAAGAACUCCAUUCCAGGCUCCUAUGUGGGUGACAGGAGCCUAAGCACUUGGGCCAAAUAUCUGUUGCCUUCCCAGGCAGCAUUAGCAGGGAGCCAGAAUGGCAAGUGUGGCGCAGCGGAGACUCCAGUCACCACCCUGAUAUGGGAUGUGAGCAUCCCAAGCGGCAACUGAACUGCUGCACCACAGCACCUACCCCAAAGCAAGUGUUUAUGUUACCCAUCCGGGGGCAUCAGUCUCUCCAUCUGCUUGCAGAGAAAGGAAUGCUGAUUACCUUAUUCUUCCUUGGGAGGAUAAUACAAUUGUUUUUUACUACAAAAAUGUAACAUGCAUUCAUGGUGAAAAUAUUAAGUGUCUUCCUUUUCCACACAUUAAAAGAAAGAAAAGCA
Non-coding RNA from Oryctolagus cuniculus (rabbit), 1048 nucleotides. Lineage: Eukaryota; Metazoa; Chordata; Mammalia; Lagomorpha; Leporidae. The record is from RefSeq and is a predicted model, not a curated record.